Macadamia integrifolia is the source of this 2870-nucleotide long non-coding RNA. RefSeq lists it as uncharacterized. The transcript has 5 exons. NCBI's taxonomy places the organism in Eukaryota, Viridiplantae, Streptophyta, Magnoliopsida, Proteales, Proteaceae. The record is from RefSeq and is a predicted model, not a curated record.
GUUUCAUUAUGAUUAUUACAUGCUUCCUAUUCCCAUGAAACUGAUUUUCCAUAUUUAUUCUUUCUCAGGUGACAUAAUCUGAAGUUUUAAUGGAUAAUCAUAUAUACCUAUUGGAUAUGUUUCAUGCCCCAUAGAAACAGUAGGCCCUAAGGUGAGUUGAACUCUUGACCUCUUUAUUGUGAGGAGUUGGUCUUCGACAACUGAGCUAUCCCUCUUGGGGUUCAUGAGAAAAUACUGCACAUUGCUUUUCAAAACAAAUUCUGUCAAAGGACCAGGAGAGGUAAGUACUGGAUUCAAAUAUCUUUUUAAUCUUUUUUCCCUUCCAUUUUAUUUUAAAUAAAAUCUUUUGAUGUAUAGAACGAGAUUUUUUUAUACUCACCUUGGAUCAUAGAUAUUAAAAGGUACCUGGCUACUUAUGCUCCAAUUUUUUUGUUCCCAGAAAACAGUUCUAAUAUGCGGCUGCAGGCAGUUAAUUGCAUCAUUCGUACAAUUUCGAUGGGAAGUACUCAACCAAACCAAACCUAACCUCUCGUCCCAGCUCCUAUAGUAUGAAAGGUUCAACGAGUCAUUUGUAUAUUAUUGAGGGUUGUGCAUCAUCUGCUGUUCCACCUAACUCUUAUGAACCUGGGGCAGAAUGUGCUCAAAUUUCUUCCUUAGGGUGUGAUGCAUUGGAUGUGAAAUUAGGGUGUUAUAAAUAGGAAAGUAAAGUAGGAUUGACUGCAGGCAAUGUGAGGGGUUUCUAUGAUGAGUCUCUUUUGUCUUGGCCCUUAGAACUCAUCUUUUGGUCACCUGAAAGCAAACUUUUUUCAUGUGGGCACAUCCCUCAUUGCAUAUUGUUUUGUCCAUUCAAACAGUGAGCCAAUGAACCUUAUAGGACCAUUAGCUGCAUUUCAGCGGAAGAAUCCGCCUACUAAUUAUGUGGUGUAGAUUUGCAUAUAUUACCAAAAGCAAAUGAAUCAUGUUAGUCAAGGAAUUGUAGAUUUUCAUGGUUUUUAAGGUUGUUCAUGAUUCUUUCCCAUUUUCUCUAUACAGGUGAUAGCUGCAAUAACUUAUCAGAUAAUUCCCGGAACGAGGGGAUUGGUUGCCUUCUGCAUGCAGAGUUGAGAAAGAGACUGCAAGAUGCUGGUAUUUGUACAAUAUAAUGUUGGGAGGACAAGGAAUCGGAGGGAUUUUGUCAUAAACAGGUACUUUAAAUGGAACUUAGCAUGAUCAUGGCGUGAAAUUUAUUAAACUAUGACCUUUGUGUCAUUUUGGGACUAGGCUUCCACUUGAAUCAGGGCUGAGACAGCCUGGCUUCCCGAGAUUAGGCUUGGCUUAUCGAAGACUCCAUUGGUUCAUCUCAGGCUUGGUUUGCUCACCUAAGUCCUGUACACAGGUUGAGUUGACCGAGCUCCAAAUGUUAAAAGCCCAUGUAGCAUCCUGAACCUUAGACCUUCUACCAAUGAUGAUCUUGUUUUUAGAUUUUGUCUAUAAAGCAUAAAAUAUAAAUACAAUAAUGUACACUAAUUCGAGCUGCAGGCUCUAUUGCUAAAUGAGCUUAAUCUUGGGUUGUUUCUCAGAUCAUAAGCUGAAAAUAAAAGCUUAGACUCAACUCAAGUGAGACAAGCUUGCUCAGCUCAUGGAAUGUGAUGGUUAUAUGGUUGAUCAUGAUAGGUCUCGCCAAUGAUGGCCUAUAAAUUUAUCGAGUUUGUAUGGUACCUGUACUGACUGAAAAUUACCAAAAGUAGCUACACUAUUCUUUCGUGUUGCUUUACCUAAAAAUUCAAUAAGAAGCCUCUUUAUGCAUCAUGAUUUCAUAAAAAGAAGGUAAUUUCUCGAAGCAGAUUCUGGACCUGAAGGAAUAAUUAAUUUUAGCUAGAGCUAAAUUAGUGAGAUAACUAGUCUCCUAUCUUUCGUUGAGACUCUGGAUAUUUAUUUUAAUUUAACUCUCAUUUCAAUUUUGUGAUGACUGAUUUCUUUACACCUUGUUGAGAGAAAUACCUAACAAAAUACAUCUAGUUACUUCAUGACCUCAGCCUAGUGGUCUUUUCUAGUAGCUGUGCAUCGUUGCAUUUUAGAAACUAGAGAUCUCUACGAUCUUUUGUAAAAUUGAGAUGGGUAUAUAAUUUUUUAUGUUUGAGAUGGACCUUAAAGCAGGGUUUUGUGACAGUUGCAAAAGUGGAUAGCUCGGGUAGAGUUUGCAAACUACCAAUUUAAGCUGACAUCCGGAGGAAAUUAUGAUUUCAUGGUGGUUCCACCCUCGUGGUUUCUCAUCUUAACAAGGAUUUCAGGCUUUUCAGCCUUUAAGCCACUCCUUUGAGUCAAUUUGAGUUUUGCUUACCAUUAAGGGCUCACAGAAAUUCACCUUCAUCUGUUCCUGCUAAAGUUCAAGAACUGGUGGGUGGGGUCAAUUCUUUAAAAGAAGCAUCCAGGGUGAAUCAAAUCAUUACCUAGUCUGAAAGUCCUGAACAUGUAAACUCAUAGAAUGAUGGAUGCUCAGAUGAUGAAGACUUGAAUGGUACGUAGAGUGACCAGAGUCUACCUAUUCUUUAUUGUGGUUUCUUUUAUUUCUAACUGACUAUUUUGACGAGGUAUCAUUGACAAGGCAUCUAUAUUAUGACAAGGUUCUCACCCUAGAGGCCUAGACAUGAUUUCAUAGAGAGUUGCAAAGACUUUGUUCCUUUAAAAGGGGUGGAUUGCAAAGCCAUUGAAGUCUAGUUCAGGAGUAGACUGAAGCGGUAUCACAAUCAGUUGGUACCUCAAUGAGUUUCUAGUCUUGCCCUCAUCCUCGGCAUAGUCAGCGAGAUUUCCGACGCUAAUGGUGGCAUGAAGGACAAGAAUAGUAACGAAGCCACAAAGGAUUAUAAACUUAAUGUUGUUGAAAGUCUUCU